Molecule: ribosomal RNA, 493 nt
Filed under: uncultured bacterium
Lineage: Bacteria
Description: bacterial SSU rRNA
Rfam family: Bacterial small subunit ribosomal RNA
Source: RNAcentral
AUCCUGGCUCAGGAUGAACGCUAGCGGCAGGCUUAACACAUGCAAGUCGAGGGGCAGCACGUCUUCGGAUGGUGGCGACCGGCGCACGGGUGCGUAACGCGUAUAGAACCUACCUUUUACAGGGGAAUAGCCCAGAGAAAUUUGGAUUAAUGCCCCAUAGUAUUAUUGAAUGGCAUCAUUUAAUAAUUAAACAUUUAUGGGUAAAAGAUGGCUAUGCGUUCUAUUAGCUAGUAGGUAAGGUAACGGCUUACCUAGGCAACGAUAGAUAGGGGGUCCUGAGAGGGAGAUCCCCCACACUGGUACUGAGACACGGACCAGACUCCUACGGGAGGCAGCAGUGAGGAAUAUUGGACAAUGGGCGAGAGCCUGAUCCAGCCAUGCCGCGUGCAGGAAGACGGUCCUAUGGAUUGUAAACUGCUUUUAUACAGGAAGAAACACUCGGACGUGUCCGAGCUUGACGGUACUGUAUGAAUAAGCACCGGCUAACUCCGUG